AGCAGCCGCGGUAAUUCCAGCUCCAAUAGCGUAUAUUAAAGUUGUUGCAGUUAAAAAGCUCGUAGUUGAAUUUCGGGAUCAAUUAAUUGGUCGUGCCUAUGGUACGUACUGAUUUUAUUGGUUUCUCCCUUCUGACGAACCAUGAUGUCAUUAAUUUGGUGUCGUGGAGAAUCAGGACUGUUACUUUGAAAAAAUUAGAGUGUUUAAAGCAAGCUAACGCUUGAAUACAUUAGCAUGGAAUAAUGAAAUAGGACGUUUGAUCCUAUUUUGUUGGUUUCUAGGAUCGACGUAAUGAUUAAUAGGGAUAGUUGGGGGCAUUAGUAUUCAAUUGUCAGAGGUGAAAUUCUUGGAUUUAUUGAAGACUAACUACUGCGAAAGCAUUUGCCAAGGAUGUUUUCAUUAAUCAAGAACGAAAGUUAGGGGAUCGAAGACGAUCAGAUACCGUCGUAG
This 450-nucleotide ribosomal RNA is filed under the name uncultured Glomeromycotina. Its description in RNAcentral is "SSU rRNA". It matches the Rfam family "Eukaryotic small subunit ribosomal RNA", at positions 569 to 1023 of the family's 1831-position model. The record is from RNAcentral. Lineage: Eukaryota; Fungi; Glomeromycota.